CCGGAACUCCACCGGAGUGAGCGGCAGUAGCGGAGUUGACGGGGGAGCUGCAGACAUCGAUCCCGCGCCAUGAGGACCCAAGCUUGGAGGGCAAGGCAUUUCUCCUUGAAUCAGGCCGCUGCCUGGAGGAGGAUGCAGUGCCAUUGAGGAACACAAGGCACAAGAGAGCAAGUGGCCACAUGAGCCUAAUUCCUUUUAUGUUGCUUCAUGUUUUUCUCUCUCCCUGUUGCUGCAGAAUACAUGAACAACAGGGGAAGCUACCUAUAGUUAAAUCGACAGCACAUGAAACACUGUCAAAUUCACAUCAAACAAAAAAAACCUGGAGAUAAUAAUGUUUUGAUGAAUCACUCCCAGUUCCAGUAAUCUUAGGUGUAACUCAUAACAACAGGCAAAAAUUUUCUGAGGGAAGUGUGCCUUGCAAUGUGACAGUCACCCCCACUUGCUCUAGUAAUAGUCAUUUCCACGUAACAAAGUAUGUAGAAAGGAAAACUGAGUCUUUGCCUGAAAUACAUAGUAACAUUUGAACCAGGCUGGAGUUGUGAAUACUCCAGGAUGUGAUUUUCAUUCUGAAGUGGAGAGAGUGAAAUGAAGAUGCUGCCAAGGAAGCAAAACACACUUGGAUCAGUGAAAACAAUUAUGUCUACCAGAGUGAGAUAAUCCUGCAGCAUAUGAAGGUAUAUGAAUUUCCCAUCACAUAACACUGACAUCUAUUAAAUGGGGGGAAGAGAUCAUCGAGAU
Gopherus flavomarginatus (Mexican gopher tortoise) is the source of this 738-nucleotide long non-coding RNA. RefSeq lists it as uncharacterized. The transcript has 4 exons. The record is from RefSeq and is a predicted model, not a curated record. NCBI's taxonomy places the organism in Eukaryota, Metazoa, Chordata, Testudines, Testudinidae.